RNAcentral lists this transfer RNA (64 nucleotides) under Coccocrater sp. MNHN-IM-2013-41044. RNAcentral describes it as "tRNA-Val". Lineage: Eukaryota; Metazoa; Mollusca; Gastropoda; Cocculinidae. The record is from RNAcentral.
UGAGAAAUAGUAUAAAUAAAUAUUCUUCAUUUACAUUGAAGAGAUGACGGAGUGUCUUUUUUAA